This 746-nucleotide ribosomal RNA is filed under the name Priestia megaterium. Its description in RNAcentral is "bacterial SSU rRNA". It matches the Rfam family "Bacterial small subunit ribosomal RNA", at positions 62 to 790 of the family's 1533-position model. The record is from RNAcentral. Lineage: Bacteria; Bacillati; Bacillota; Bacilli; Caryophanales; Bacillaceae.
UCGAGCGAACUGAUUAGAAGCUUGCUUCUAUGACGUUAGCGGCGGACGGGUGAGUAACACGUGGGCAACCUGCCUGUAAGACUGGGAUAACUUCGGGAAACCGAAGCUAAUACCGGAUAGGAUCUUCUCCUUCAUGGGAGAUGAUUGAAAGAUGGUUUCGGCUAUCACUUACAGAUGGGCCCGCGGUGCAUUAGCUAGUUGGUGAGGUAACGGCUCACCAAGGCAACGAUGCAUAGCCGACCUGAGAGGGUGAUCGGCCACACUGGGACUGAUACACGGCCCAGACUCCUACGGGAGGCAGCAUCAGGGAAUCUUCCGCAAUGGACGAAAGUCUGACGGAGCAACGCCGCGUGAGUGAUGAAGGCUUUCGGGUCGUAAAACUCUGUUGUUAGGGAAGAACAAGUACGAGAGUAACUGCUCGUACCUUGACGGUACCUAACCAGAAAGCCACGGCUAACUACGUGCCAGCAGCCGCGGUAAUACGUAGGUGGCAAGCGUAUCCGGAAUUAUUGGGCGUAAAGCGCGCGCAGGCGGUUUCUUAAGUCUGAUGUGAAAGCCCACGGCUCAACCGUGGAGGGUCAUUGGAAACUGGGGAACUUGAGUGCAGAAGAGAAAAGCGGAAUUCCACGUGUAGCGGUGAAAUGCGUAGAGAUGUGGAGGAACACCAGUGGCGAAGGCGGCUUUUUGGUCUGUAACUGACGCUGAGGCGCGAAAGCGUGGGGAGCAAACAGGAUUAGAUACCCUGG